RNAcentral lists this ribosomal RNA (497 nucleotides) under uncultured bacterium. RNAcentral describes it as "bacterial SSU rRNA". It matches the Rfam family "Bacterial small subunit ribosomal RNA", at positions 979 to 1475 of the family's 1533-position model. The record is from RNAcentral.
UCUUGACAUCCAGCGAAGCCUUUAGAGAUAGAGGUGUGCCUUCGGGAGCGCUGAGACAGGUGCUGCAUGGCUGUCGUCAGCUCGUGUUGUGAAAUGUUGGGUUAAGUCCCGCAACGAGCGCAACCCUUAUCCUUGUUUGCCAGCACAUAAUGGUGGGAACUCCAGGGAGACUGCCGGUGAUAAACCGGAGGAAGGUGGGGACGACGUCAAGUCAUCAUGGCCCUUACGAGUAGGGCUACACACGUGCUACAAUGGCAGAUACAGAGGGCAGCGAGACAGCGAUGUUUAGCGAAUCCCUUAAAGUUUGUCGUAGUCCGGAUUGGAGUCUGCAACUCGACUCCAUGAAGUCGGAAUCGCUAGUAAUCGUGGAUCAGAAUGCCACGGUGAAUACGUUCCCGGGCCUUGUACACACCGCCCGUCACACCAUGGGAGUGGGCUGCACCAGAAGUAGAUAGCUUAACCUUCGGGAGGGCGUUUACCACGGUGUGGUUCAUGAC